This 581-nucleotide ribosomal RNA is filed under the name uncultured organism. RNAcentral describes it as "bacterial SSU rRNA". It matches the Rfam family "Bacterial small subunit ribosomal RNA", at positions 9 to 637 of the family's 1533-position model. The record is from RNAcentral.
GAGUUUGAUCCUGGCUCAGGAUGAACGCUGGCGGCGUGCUUAACACAUGCAAGUCGAACGAGCCUUCGGGCUAGUGGCGGACGGGUGAGUAACGCGUGGGAAUCUGCCCUCAGGAGGGGGAUAACGGCCGGAAACGGCCGCUAAUACCCCAUAUGCCGAGAGGUGAAAUGAAUUUCGCCUGAGGAUGAGCCCGCGUCUGAUUAGCUAGUUGGUGGGGUAAUGGCCCACCAAGGCGACGAUCAGUAGCUGGUCUGAGAGGAUGAUCAGCCACACUGGGACUGAGACACGGCCCAGACUCCUACGGGAGGCAGCAGUGGGGAAUUUUCCGCAAUGGGCGAAAGCCUGACGGAGCAACGCCGCGUGAGGGAUGAAGGCCUCUGGGCUGUAAACCUCUUUUCUCAAGGAAGAAGACAUGACGGUACUUGAGGAAUAAGCCACGGCUAAUUCCGUGCCAGCAGCCGCGGUAAUACGGGAGUGGCAAGCGUUAUCCGGAAUUAUUGGGCGUAAAGCGUCCGCAGGCGGCCUUGUAAGUCUGUCGUUAAAGCGUGGAGCUUAACUCCAUUUCAGCGAUGGAAACUACA